GGAAUAUUGGUCAAUGGACGAGAGUCUGAACCAGCCAAGUAGCGUGCAGGAUGACGGCCCUAUGGGUUGUAAACUGCUUUUAUAUAGGGAUAAAGUUCACUACGUGUAGUGUUUUGUAGGUACUAUAUGAAUAAGGACCGGCUAAUUCCGUGCCAGCAGCCGCGGUAAUACGGAAGGUCCGGGCGUUAUCCGGAUUUAUUGGGUUUAAAGGGAGCGCAGGCCGGAGGUCAAGCGUGACGUGAAAUGUAGCCGCUCAACGGCUGAACUGCGUCGCGAACUGGCUUUCUUGAGUGAGUGCGACGUCAGCGGAAUUCGUGGUGUAGCGGUGAAAUGCUUAGAUAUCACGAAGAACCCCGAUUGCGAAGGCAGCUGACGAGGCCUUUACUGACGCUAAAGCUCGAAGGUGCGGGUAUCGAACA
This 419-nucleotide ribosomal RNA is filed under the name uncultured Prevotella sp. RNAcentral describes it as "bacterial SSU rRNA". It matches the Rfam family "Bacterial small subunit ribosomal RNA", at positions 358 to 774 of the family's 1533-position model. The record is from RNAcentral. Lineage: Bacteria; Pseudomonadati; Bacteroidota; Bacteroidia; Bacteroidales; Prevotellaceae.